CAAAGAAAUCUUUCAUGGAAGAGUCGAUCAAUGUGUGAAACUUCAUUUUUGUCUUAUUUUAAGAAAUUGGCCACAGCAAUUUCUUAAAUGCCCCAACCUUCAGCAACCAGCGUUCUGAUCAGUCAGCAGCCAUCCAUAUCAAGGCAAGACCCUUUACCAGCAAAAAGAUUCUCACUGAAGGCUCAGAUGUUCAUUAGCAUUUUUUAGCAAUAAAGUAUUUUUCAGUUAAUAUAUGUACAUUGCUUUUUCAGACAUAAUGCUACUGCACACUUACUAGACUCAGUGUAGUGCAAACAUAACUCUUAUAUGCACUGGGAAACCAAAACAUUCGUGUGACUCAUUUUAUUGUGACAUUUGUUUUAUUGUGGUCUUCGGGAGCUAAACCUGCAAUAUCUCUGAGGUCUGCCUGUGUUCUACUGGGGAAGACUCAUAUUUCGCCAACCAAAACAAUGGGUGAUAGGAUCUAUUACUUGCUGUUUUCAAGGGGCACAAAAGAGGGAAUGAUUAGCCUUGCCUGUGUGAGGUUGACAUUCAAAAUGAAUCCUUAGCAUUUUUAUGCUAUCAUCGAGUAGAGAAGUGGGGUGGGUGAAGGCAUCUCAAGGAGCUUAUGUAUGGGUAAAUGCAAUGGUAUGCACAAUUUCCAGGCAGCAUUCCCUGAAAGGCUGUUGUGUUCAGGGAACAGUACAUUAUCCAGAGUGGCCAGAAGACCACGUACAAUGGGGUUGGUAGAAGAUGGGCAUGGAAUGAAUGGACAAUUGGGAAGGACACUGAACGUCAGACUGAGAAAUCUGGACUUAAUCUACAGGUAAUUAAAAUGAUUUGCAAAUGUUUUGCAAAGACAAGAAAUCUGUUCACAGCCUGUCAUUGAAAUGAUCACACAUUUUCAUAUUCAGAACUUCACAGUGUGUUGCCAGCAAAGUAGUGAAGGGCAUCUUUAUAGAAAUACAUUAUAAUUACAGUUUUUUUUUUCCAAAGGACUAAAAGUAUUUUAUGGGCAGGAUGCAGGGGGAAGGGAGAGAGAGACAAAAACAGAAAGAAACAGAGACAGAAGGACAGAGAGACAGAGAGAAUGUGUGUGCAUCUUUAAUAGAAGUUCCAGAUGGCAGAUAAGGGAGAGAAGAAAGCCUGAAGACUAAUAUCAGAUAAGAUUUCAAAGGAAUAGAAGGGAAAAUCAAAACAAAUUUUGAAAAGUUUAAUUAAGGCUGUGGAACAUUUUUGCCUUAGGGAAGGAGAAAACUGUCUCUAAAUUUAUUUGUAAUGAGACCUUCACACUUUCUCCCUUGGUCUGUACAUGGCUUCUCUGUG
Molecule: long non-coding RNA, 1305 nt
Filed under: Homo sapiens (human)
Lineage: Eukaryota; Metazoa; Chordata; Mammalia; Primates; Hominidae
Description: HSALNT0134523
Source: RNAcentral